Molecule: ribosomal RNA, 490 nt
Filed under: uncultured bacterium
Lineage: Bacteria
Description: partial 16S ribosomal RNA
Rfam family: Bacterial small subunit ribosomal RNA
Source: RNAcentral
AUUGAACGCUGGCGGCAGGCCUAACACAUGCAAGUCGAACGGUAACAGGAAACAGCUUGCUGUUUCGCUGACGAGUGGCGGACGGGUGAGUAAUGUCUGGGAAACUGCCUGAUGGAGGGGGAUAACUACUGGAAACGGUAGCUAAUACCGCAUAACGUCGCAAGACCAAAGAGGGGGACCUUCGGGCCUCUUGCCAUCGGAUGUGCCCAGAUGGGAUUAGCUAGUAGGUGGGGUAACGGCUCACCUAGGCGACGAUCCCUAGCUGGUCUGAGAGGAUGACCAGCCACACUGGAACUGAGACACGGUCCAGACUCCUACGGGAGGCAGCAGUGGGGAAUCUUGCACAAUGGGCGCAAGCCUGAUGCAGCCAUGCCGCGUGUAUGAAGAAGGCCUUCGGGUUGUAAAGUACUUUCAGCGGGGAGGAAGGGAGUAAAGUUAAUACCUUUGCUCAUUGACGUUACCCGCAGAAGAAGCACCGGCUAACUCCGUG